UAGACUUGAUCUAAAUAUCUGACAAAAUAAUACUAUACUAUGGCUACUGCAACUGAAAGUGGUACUUCAAUUCCGAUUGUUACAACGACUCCAGUCCUUAUCUAGAACCAUGUUCAAGUUCUAAUAAAUCAUAGAGAAUUUAACCUGAAGGUCAUGGAAUUAAUUUUAAUGUAUCAGCAAUAAGCACCAUGACAAGUACAGCAAACUUCUGGUUGCCCUUGUACUACCAUCCAGAUCUCUGUUAAGAGAAAUUCUGAAGUCUAUUUGAUGACUCAGAAUAAGUGAAGGCUGGAGAAAUUUGAAUUCAAAUGCUAGAAAAAUUCUGAUCCUUACGCAGUUUUGAGGUUUAAAAUUGGUUUCUCAAACUAUGUGUUUAAACUACAUUUGUUAGGCAAUCUGAUAACUCAACCUUAGAUUCCUUCUAGUUUUCUGCAAAAGUUUCAAAUUUGGUGUCAGAUAUUAUACAAAGAAUAUAUAGUGCAUUAAAGGCAUGGAGUGUAUCAAUUGGUUCCAGAUUAUGCUGCAGUAGUAAAAUAUAUUAUGUUUUGAUUCCAUGUUCUAAUAAAUUUUUGUUCCAAUUUUUCUAUGAUACUACAAUUAUGGUGGAAUCCAAGCUAGAAUCAAUAAUGAAACAUUAGAAGGUAUUUCUGAACUAGAAAACGGAAUUGUGCAUGAUGAAUCUCAAGUGGAUAUUGUUUCAAGCUGGAAUAUUCUGAAAACUUACCUAAGGCAACUUAGGUAGUCACCCAACUAUUUUUUUUUUCUAUGUUACUAGUACCUUUAAGAUAUAAGUGAUAUUGAAACAUCACUUUAUGAAAUUUAAUAUGACAUAGUUAAAUUGAAUCAUUUAAUCACAAGCUUCAUCUGCUACUAUGUAUUAUUUUAUAUGAUCUUCUUUCUUCAUAUUCUGACUGAUAUCACUGUCUUUUGGGCUGUUAUACAGAAUCACUUCAUCUUGAUUGUCUCUGAAUUUAUGUAUAUUCAUGGAAAUAUGCACGAGAACAAACUGCAAUUAAAGCAUCUUUGAGGGAUGCAACUUAUGCACUCCAUCAAUAACUGCUGCAGCUGUAGAAACUUUCGAGUCACACAGGACAGAAUAUCUAACGAAGAGAGUAUGAAAUAGGAUUUAGUUGCCAAGGCUUGUAUAAGUUCUUGAUUCCUCCUGUUGCUUAUAUUCUGUUCAUGUAAAUUGUAUUUUGCAGAUCAAUUCUUUCUUUGCAAAUAAACUUCUAAGGAUUGUUUGUGA
Non-coding RNA from Camellia sinensis, 1246 nucleotides. The record is from RefSeq and is a predicted model, not a curated record. NCBI's taxonomy places the organism in Eukaryota, Viridiplantae, Streptophyta, Magnoliopsida, Ericales, Theaceae.